UAAUUACUCCCUCCGUCCCAAAAUUCUUGUCUUACAUUUGUCUAGAUAUGAAUGUAUCUAGUCACGUUUUAGUAUUUAGAUACAACCAUUUCUAGACAAACCUAAGUCAAGAAUUUUGGGACGGAGGGAGUAUUUG
Molecule: microRNA precursor, 136 nt
Filed under: Hordeum vulgare
Lineage: Eukaryota; Viridiplantae; Streptophyta; Magnoliopsida; Poales; Poaceae
Description: microRNA MIR1122
Rfam family: MIR1120/MIR1122 microRNA precursor family
Source: RNAcentral